UACGUAGGAUGCGAGCGUUGUCCGGAAUUAUUGGGCGUAAAGAGAACGUAGGCGGUUUCUUAAGUUUGGGCUUAAAGACUGGGGCUCAACCCCAGGAGUGGCUCGAAAACUGAGAGACUAGAGGAUGGCAGAGGAAAGUGGAAUUCCCAGUGUAGCGGUGAAAUGCGUAGAUAUUGGGAGGAACACCAGUGGCGAAAGCGGCCUUCUGGACCAAUACUGACGCUCAUGCACGAAAGCGUGGGGAGCAAACAGG
RNAcentral lists this ribosomal RNA (253 nucleotides) under uncultured bacterium. RNAcentral's name for it is "partial 16S ribosomal RNA". It matches the Rfam family "Bacterial small subunit ribosomal RNA", at positions 524 to 776 of the family's 1533-position model. The record is from RNAcentral.